AACUGUUUUAAAUAAAAAUGUUUUGAAAACACCUAUAGAGCUGCUAAGCUCAACAGUUAU
RNAcentral lists this transfer RNA (60 nucleotides) under Gammarus wautieri. RNAcentral describes it as "tRNA-Ser". The record is from RNAcentral. Lineage: Eukaryota; Metazoa; Arthropoda; Malacostraca; Amphipoda; Gammaridae.